Molecule: ribosomal RNA, 165 nt
Filed under: Melampyrum klebelsbergianum
Lineage: Eukaryota; Viridiplantae; Streptophyta; Magnoliopsida; Lamiales; Orobanchaceae
Description: 5.8S ribosomal RNA
Rfam family: 5.8S ribosomal RNA
About the family: 5.8S ribosomal RNA (5.8S rRNA) is a component of the large subunit of the eukaryotic ribosome. It is transcribed by RNA polymerase I as part of the 45S precursor that also contains 18S and 28S rRNA.
Source: RNAcentral
AAACGACUCUCGGCAACGGAUAUCUCGGCUCUCGCAUCGAUGAAGAACGUAGCGAAAUGCGAUACUUGGUGUGAAUUGCAGAAUCCCGUGAACCAUCGAGUCUUUGAACGCAAGUUGCGCCCGAAGCCUUCUGGUUGAGGGCACGUCUGCCUGGGCGUCACGCAU